UCCCGUGAUCCACUGCGGGGAAAGGCGGUAGCGCUGCUGCAGGAGCAGCACCAUCGACGGCGGUUCUUCCAUCCGGGUCUUGGGUGGCGCUGGGUCAUCCUUCUGCAGUUGAGGAAGGACAAACAUUAGCCUCAGAUGUGGUGGCUGGACUUGGCAUUGAAGAUGAUAAAGGAAAGUACUUGGAAACAGUUUUAUGGGGUUUGUAAAUCCUUGGGGGUAGUUGGCUUGUUAAGCAGUUUGCUGAACUUCUCCAGCUGUCUGGUGUGUGGGAAAGUGGGAAGACAGAAAGCACAAAGUUUCAGAAGAAGGGAAGGAAGCUCAGAGAUGAUAGACUUCAGGAAACAACUGCCUUCUGGGAUACUUGAAUAAACAUACUUGGGUUGCCUCUGUUUCUUCUGUGAAUGGGAGAACUCCUUACAUUAGUGCAAGGGAUGAAUAUCCAGAGAAGGCUCCCAAAGAAGAAAGAGGAGGUUUGAGUGGGGAACAGGAAGAAGAAUAUUGUAUGUAGUUCCGUUGCUUGAACAUUUACAGUCUACUGAAUCUUGCUAUCCAGAGAAGUGUCUACGGUUUAACCAUUCUUUUAUCCAUCAGCUAUUUUUGUGUGUGAGUGUUUUAAAAAGUAUUUAAAUGACUUGACCUCUUCGAAGCAUUCAGGUAAACUUGUUCUUUUUAAGAACAUAAUCAACAUACCUUAAGUGAAGAUACCUGCGCUGUGGGAUGAGGUAGUAGGUUGUAUAGUUUUUAGGGUCAUACCCACCACUGGGAGAUAACUAUACAGUCUACUGUCUUUCCUAAAGAGGCAGACAAUCAUCAGUGAUAUCUGUAUGGCUUUGUUACUGGCUAUACAAUUACAACUGGGAGGCUGUAAUGAUGGCUCACCGGACACACUUGUCAAGGAAAUGUGGACUCAAAGAGUUGGAUCCUGAGGAACAUGAGUGGAAAGCUGCUUGUGGAAAGGGACUUCUAUCAUCUCCUCACCAUCUGUUCCUUCUUAGAGUCAGGGGGCCUCCUGAAAGGUGUGAACUAUGUGGGGAGCAGACCUGAAUUGGCCAGAGGUACCUUGUGCAAAGUGUGCCUUUAUCCACUGAUGUUGUUUUCCCUUCUCUGAGCCAGGGCCAAUAGGCAAAGUUGAGGCAUCCUCCUCAGGAGGCAGCCCCCACCUCAUUCUCCCAAGCUAGUCUGCUGCUAGGAAACGGUUCUGAAGUAAGAUGUGCCUGCCAGUCCAGCUGGAUCUUUAUAUGAAAUGGAACUGUAUCAUCAUUUGUUUAGGGCAGCAAAUUGUAUUGGGCUGGCCCACUGGUGCCUUAUUCCGCACUGUUUAGGAUAUCCUUCCAGAGGCUUUUUGUGAAGCGCAGGUGAGAGGAGAUGGAGAUGUCCCUAUCUGCAAGUAAGUCUCAGGAUCCAGUCCAUGGGCAGGUAGACUCAGAACAAAUUAACUGGAAAUAGAACCCUUCUAAAUAUAUUUCUCUUAUCAGGUUGAGGUAGUAGAUUGUAUAGUUGUAGGGCAGUUAUUUUGCCCUCUUCAGGAGAUAACUAUACAAUCUAUUGCCUUCCUUGAGGAGUAAAAAUUCUGCAGUGUUUUUGCUGAGUUUACCAGCAACCUUGGUGGGACCUCUCUUAAUGGAAAAUAAAUGAAAUGAUUUGCACAGAAGAUCUGUAACUAAAUGCAACUCUAUUUUUCAGCAUUAAUUUGAUCAUUUCAGGUAUCUGCAUCUUGAAAAUAUGUGCCACUUGGUUUGAUCUGAGUUGGAUUAAAAAAACAAGUGUUUUGUUUAAGUUUAAUUGGGAGGAUAUUAAGUAUGUAUACUAUUAAUGAUAUAACAAAGGACUAACAGUGAAUGGCUUUGUACUUACGUAGCAAGUGGUUCACCUUCUAUAGUAAUUGAACACAUACAAUUGUGAUACAGCAUCUUGCCUUAUGUUGUAUAAAGUUUGUCUUUCACUACAGCUAAUCUUUUUCUUUUCUUUUUUGAAGGAUUGCUGAAGAAGUGGUGGGUUCCUAGGAAGAGGUAGUAGGUUGCAUAGUUUUAGGGCAGUGGUUUUGCCCGCAAGGAGUUAACUAUACAACCUGCUGCCUUUCUUAGGGCUUUAAUAUUACAACAGGAUGAUAUUGGCUCAGUUUUAAAUCUUCCUUCACUAGGUUGUGGUUUAAGGUUUGGAAUACUUGCUAGAAAAGUUUUGUUCACUGAGUAAGCCAAAAAAUAUGGGGAAACCUUGAGCUACCUUUUAGCCUACAGAAUGUAUCUUUGGCUUUUUGCUAAGAGAAUUCUAUGGUACAAAGUAUUCUAUCCAAACUGAGUAGAAAAGAAAAUGGUGUAAUGGUUUAAACUCUCAAGGCUCCAAAGUGUCAUAUGUUUAAGAAGUACUUAAGAAAGUAAACUAGGCUGCUCAAUAAACGGCUUUGUAGUGGUA
Non-coding RNA from Podarcis muralis (Common wall lizard), 2412 nucleotides. The record is from RefSeq and is a predicted model, not a curated record. Lineage: Eukaryota; Metazoa; Chordata; Lepidosauria; Squamata; Lacertidae.